AUAUUUAAUUUAGGUGAUGUGACCUUGCGCAAUGCUCGAAACAAAGUGUUACAUUCUCCAUUAAGCAACCUCUGUUGUAGAAGCUAUCUGACUACAUCAGUCACGUUACAAAAGAUGAGAAAAUUCAGCCAGGGGACAUAAAAUUCGACUGGAAGACAGCAGGACGGAGGCGGCGAGAGGCGCUGCCGCGGCCCUAAGAUGGCGGCGCCGCGAGGGGGGAGCGGGCUGGACAGGGACGGCUGUUGUUAAAGCUUUGUUGUUAAAGCUUUACUGUUCCCGCUGCCGCCCCUGCCCGCCGUGUCCGCCGCGCCGUGCAUAGUAAAGCCACCAAAGGCAGUGCUAUGCAGAAGGACAGCUGGGGUCCUGCCUGCCUGUGAACAGCUCAAAAGCUGAGCUCCAGAGGAGUUGGUGCCUUCAAGAAGUGAGAUGUCAGCUCAGCCUGCACCCAGCAUCUGCUUAUGAUGUGAUUUGGUACAAGGUGUUCAUGCCCUGCUUCCUAUUGCGGCAUGUGUCCGACCGCCAGUGAUCUCUCUGACCCGGCUGGCAGCAGAGUGGCUGGAGACGGGCUGCAACGCGUGCUGGAGGAUGCAGGCACCCAACGUGGGGCACUGGAGAGCACCAGCCCCCCAGCAAACGUGGGGUACUGAGGACAGCUCAGAGAGAUGACCAGUGUGAGGCCCUAGAACACCGCGGGCUUUGGUACUCGGGAGCGAGGUUUUGUGAGGAUCAGCAGAGAAGAGAGGGGAUGUAAGCUUUCAAUUUUAAGUCUUGCUUUCAUUUAAAAGCUGCCAAAGAAGACCCUAAAACCAUUACAUCAACAUUUUAAGAUAAAAAUAAUCAAUCCCCACUCCCCUCUAGAAUUUUUCUUAAAUUUAAUUGAUUUCUUUUGAGAUGCAUUUAUUGUGUUGUUGUUUUGUUACGUGGUCGUGAUGCUGAGAGAUUAUUUUUCAUUUCAAUAAGGUAAUAAUUUAAAUUUUAGUUUUGAUUGUGCAAUAUUUAACAGACUUCCUUUCCUGGUUUUUGCAUUAUGCCCCCCAUGUCCCUGAACCCACUGACCCUGAGAACAGAAUGGGAGAUGGAAUCUGCCAUCUCCCCUCCUUUUUUGUGGCCAUGCUGUCCUGGGUAGGGGACAGAAAAGGAGGGGAGAUUGGCCAUUCUACCCUAACCACUUUCCGUCAGCCCUCAACCCUACCCCCACUUUCCUACUAUAUUUAAUUGGCAGUUCCUGAUUUUCGUUAUAAUUCAUGUUGCAGAGAUUGCUAUUAUUUCCUGUUUAGUUAUGUGGGUGACCCUCGGAGUUAGGCCAGUUGACGCAUUUGUUUAUUUAUUUAACUUUGCAGCAUGAACCCACCUGUUUAGUGGGUUCACCUGUUAAACUUUAUUUACAGUAUUCUAUGUAUUUUUGUUCUCAAUUUAGUUAAAUUGAUUAUAAAGUCCAUUAAGUAGAGUGUCAUUUUAGUUCAAAUACGACUGUUAUACUUUUCAUUUUAAAUGAAAGAAGAGGGGGGAGUUGUGCAAGUUUGUCCUGGAAGGGACGGGCUAGGGACUGGCCACACAGCCACAACCCAACAUCAGGCCUCAAGAAGGAAGAAACCACAACUGAUGACAUCCAAGCAGCUUAUGGUGAGGAGAAAAGGACUUGCAAAGGACUCUGGGACCAGUUGGGAGUGGCCAUGCAGAUCAGCAGCCCAUGACUGGCCAGAAGGCUUCUAGAACAUUCUGAGAGACUACAUUCUAUGAGAGACUAUACAUAUGCAUGUUGGCCUCACUUCGAUGUCUUCUGAAGCAGCCCCUUUAUGUUUUGUUUUGCACCCAUGUUUACGCCCUUUUAUUUAUUUAAUAAAUAUCUUCAGUUUUGGCA
Zonotrichia leucophrys gambelii is the source of this 1861-nucleotide long non-coding RNA. RefSeq lists it as uncharacterized. The record is from RefSeq and is a predicted model, not a curated record. The transcript is spliced from 3 exons. Lineage: Eukaryota; Metazoa; Chordata; Aves; Passeriformes; Passerellidae.